CCGCGCAGAGAACCAAAUACCCGCCCCAUUGUUCUCCACCAUCUUUAGCAUCUUCAAAACUUGAACACCAAAAACAACACACACCCAUAUAAACGCACACACAACUAAACCAACCAGAAAAUCUGGGCAUGAAAAUUGAUUGAAGAAAAGUUGGUUUAGGUUCUAAUUCCAGUUGCUGAUUGUUAGAUUUUUGUUGCUGCUAUGAUUGGUUGAGACGCGGCUGAGUCGAAGCUGUUUUGUUUCCAGUUCGAGUUCCAUCUAGAGGUCAUCGGAUUGAGUGCUUUUAUUUUCCAUGUAAGAAAAUUGUUAUGGGAGAUCUGAAAGUCUGUUCGAGUCAAGGAUGUUGUUUGAGUUGCUGGACCGCUAGUUCUGUUUCUUCACUGAAAUUCCACAUUGGAAAUUCUUGAUUAUUGUGAAAGGAAAAUUUUCUCAUUAAGGUAUGUUUUUCUUGAUUUUCAUUCUAUUCUCAUCUCGUCACAGUAGCUUGAAGAGUGUUUGGCAUAACUUGUGAUUUUCUUUAUUUUAUUUUUAACUAGCAUAUCUUAACUUUCGUUAGGUACCUUUAAUUAGUUUAUCUAUUUUGUGAUGUAUAUGACCUUUGUUCUUGGAUGAAUGUAUUAUAAUGGUUCGAUAAAUUAACUUAGCAAGUUAGUGGUUAGUGCUAGAAUAUUUAAUAAGCUAAUGGAAUUUAUUUGUUAAAUAAUAAGGAUACUUCCAUACUUCCAUCAUUCACAUUGGGGAGUUAGGGAAGAAAGGUAGCUAAUGUUAUGAGUAUACACUGACUUGGAUGCAUGUUUUUUUUUUUGCAAUUCACUAUGCAGGCGCCUAGGGUUAGAUUUCAUUAAUAAUUGAAAAGAAAAUUAUAACAAUUAGGAGAAGUAAAAUAAGGGAUAGCAACGAUGUUGUUACCCAUAUAACACAACCGGCGUAACCGUACCUUACUAAUCCUAUUGAGGCAAAUAAAAAGCCUCACCUACUAGCAAGCAUGUAAAAAGAAAGAACUAGCAAGAACUAAGAACAGUAUGAUCAUCAUAGAGUUUAUAACGUACUCUGUAAUGAUAUUACAUAUUAUAAGACUAAUGUGAUGGUAAAAUAAGAGGAUGAAAAAACUACGUUGAUGCUCUCUUUUCUCUAAAUUUGUGAAUACUUCCAUUUGUAGAUUGUUGUCUUUGCCCACAGAUUUAAAAGUCUUCAAAAUUCAUGUUUUUUCUUUAAGCGAUUGGAAUUUGUAGAUAUUGUUUGAGUGACCUGUUUUUGUUUUGCAUUUCUCAUUGGGGGCCUCCUUAUGUUUGCGUCUUCAAUCACCAUGGUGUCCCAACUUCUAUCACUUGCAGGAGACUUCUUACUUCUUUCACUAUGCAUUAGUGACAAAUUACCUUUUCUUGAAGCGUCUAAAUCCCUUGCACGAGACUUGUUACUUCUUUCACUAUGCAUUGGUGACAAAUCACCUUUUCUUGAAGCCUCUGCCUGACAUUGCUUUAAUAUAUCAUCUUCCUCCCCUUCUUUAUAUAUAUGUCUACCUGUAAAUAUUGAAUUUGGCAUCUCUUGAAAAUCGCUUUAUGUUAUCAAUGAUUUUUCAGCUUGUACCUUACCUAUAACUGCCUUGUUUUGUCAUUGUUUUGCGAUUUGUUCCUGCUCAUGUUCCCACAACCUGUACUGGAAUUAUCAUGAUUUAAAGCGUUUAGUGGAUCUGUACUUUGCAUCGCAUCCAAGAGUUGUCUUUCUUCUAAAGAGAUUACUGGAGCAGUUGUUACGAUGUAGUGCUGCCCCGCCUGUGAACAUGCUACUGUGUUGCAAUCAGCGGAAGGAGCGUUAGUUGGUGUAGUUGCAUCCCUUUGCUGAUUCUGUAUAAUAUGACUCGUAACCAACGGUUGCCUCAUUCCAUCGACAAGUUUCCUCUCCUCGAAAUUAAUGGGUGGCUCAGUUGUUACAAGCUGAUUCUGCGCAGUUUUUGGCAGCACUGUUGUGUUUCGAUCAGCAGCUGCUGUUUCAGCUGAGUGUUGGUUUAGUUGGACGUUAUAUCCUGUUGCAUUUUGGUCGAAAUUUGGUGUUACUGCAUUUGAAAUUACUGCUUUUGCAGUAUUUCUUGGAACAAAAACUGGAGCGUUAUGGUUCAACUUACUGUUGGGACUUGCUGCAUUUGUCGCAGUAGCAUGACAAUUCAGAUUGGUCGUUUGAAAUGUUGUAGGUUUCCCUUGAAAUUUUUGUUUGAUUGGAGCAUCAAUGUCCUCUCCUUCACUAUCCUGAUCAACUUCUUGGUCGUCUCUUCAGAUGAAAAACCAGCAACUCCGUCACCUCAGACCUCAUCAUCAUCAAACUCUCAUUGGUCUUUCCACAGUUUCGAGUUAAUGACCAUCUCCCUCAUCUUAGCUUGAAUUAUUUCUUUGUUUUUGCCAAUUGAUAUUGACGGUUGCCCAUAUUCAGCUCCAUGCUCGCCUAUUGACUCACAAGAUUGAGUCAAUGUGACCAAUGAUUGCUUGAACAUAUGGUUGGCAUCGGACAUCAUUUUAAUCUGUGAAUCAUUGAUAAUUUUCUCCACAUGUGGACUGGAGAAAUGAGUCGAGGGAGCAUUUUGAUCCUUGGCCUACAUUUGCCUAUUUGGAUCAUUAACAGGAUCCUUAUCCAAUGCCGCUGUAUUCGAUGAGCUAUUUUGAUAAUAACUGUCUACCAUCUGCAGAUUCUCUCUAGUGAACUUCUCAUCAUCUUCAUUCUCAUUGCCAAGUGCAGCAAAUGAGUUUGGAUUUUUUGUUACACCUGGACACUUUUCUGCAAUCUGAUGUUUUUUUUUUUGCUUAUUGGAGUUCUUUUUUUGUUGGAAACAGAUGUCAAAUUAUCCUUAACAAUAUGUUGUCCAGCUUCCCUUGUGUGUUGUCUAGCAUGAGAAGGUUUUGAUCUCUCAAAUUCAGCCCCCUCUAAAGCAAGCUCACCUUGUACUAAGGCAACAUUAGAGACAUCUGUAGCAGCUGUACCUAUAGACAUAGUCACACUAUGUUGUUUUUGAACUAUAUCGAGCUCACCUUGUACUAAGGCAGCAUUAGAGACAUCUGUAGCAGCUGUACCUAUAGACAUAGUCAUACUGUGUUGUUUUUGAACUAUAUCUGGCUUUGCUGUUCUUUGAAGCAGUUUAAUCACAUCAUCCUUGUUAUCACUCCCAGUUACAUCUCGAUCCUCAGGACAGAUAGGAACUGCAACAGCUGGCUUUGUAUCUACUAUGCAGAUGGUAUUCCUGUUACCCUUUGUUAAUGAUGCUGCAAGCUCCAAUUCCAUAACAUCACAGUGAUCUCUCACCUCUUCAUUUUUCCCAGUCCAUUUAAAGCCAUCAAAUGAUAUUACAUUUUCCUCCCCUACUACUAGUUGCUGCACAUUGUUGGCAGUAACCAGAGUUGAUGACUUAUUCAAUUCAUUACUUCCUUGUUGUCCAAGAAUUUUUUAGGCAUGAAGCAGCUUUGGCAGUGUUGACUUCUCCACUGGUUCAACUGAUACAACAGUUGGUUCCUGCACAAAGAGGUCUAUCAAAAACUGGUGUGUCCUUAUUGCAUUUUCACCUGUUGUUACACCUGAUGCAGCAGUAGGUUUCAAAUUUGACACCAUCAUAUCUGACUGUUUUUCAGUUAAAACAUUCAUAGGAACAUGCAAUGGAACAAUAGUUGGCCCUUUACAAAGCUAUGCAACAUCAGCAUUUGGUAUUGAAAGAGGUGCAGCAGCUGGAACAAUUGAAAAAGACAAAUUUGUUUAUCCUGCAUUUACCUCCCCUGCUACUAGGUGCUGCACAUUGUACUUGUAAUGCUGUCCGUUACAUAUUUCAGUUAUAUUGGAAGGAUUGGCAGUAACCAGAGUUGAUAACUUAUUCAAUUCAUUACAUCCUUGUUGUCCAGGUAUUUUGAAGCAUGAAGCAGAUUUGGCAGUGUUGACUUCUCCACUGGUUCAACUGAUACAACAGUUGGAUCUGUAGAAGCUUUCAAAGUACCAGAAGCCUCCAAGUUUGUACCAUUUCCCUGACCAAACCAUGCACUUUUUUGAUUCCUAUUAUUUUGCAAUAAGUGCUGCUGCUCGAUGAAUUUAUCCUGCAGAGGUCUAUCAACAACUGGUCUGUCCUUUUUGCAUUUUCACUUGCUGUUACACCUGAUGCAGCAGUAGGUUCCAAAUUUGACACCAUCAUAUUUGACUGUUUUUCAGUUAAAACAUUCAUAGGAACAUGCAAAGGAUCAGUAGUUGGCCCUUUACAAAGCUGUGCAACAUCAACAUUUGGCAUAGAAAGAGCUGCAGCGGCUUGAACAAUUGAACAAGAGAAAUUUGUUUGUCCUGCAUCAUCAAUCACAUUAGGUAGUACCCCUUCAAUUCGACGUCCUGCAAGAUUAGCAUCCAAGUACUCCCUAGCGUCACCUCCUAAUUUAGCCAAACUGCCCCGGCCUUCAGGUUCGUCAACGUGAACGUGUUCUUUAUUAAAUUCCUGUGUACUCCAACGACACGAUUUAACAUCAUGACCUUGAUGAUUGCAACACGUGCAGUAUUUAGGUAGAUUAUCAAACAUGAUCUGCUGGUCGUAUUCAACUAUUUUUCCAGAUUUCAUAUCUACUAUCUUGAUCUUGAUUUUCUUUGGAUGUUUGUCCAGUAGAUUAAUCAAGACUUUAACUCGUGCCGUACUUGGUCGUGUUCGAUCUUGAGUAGCCUUAUCUACUGCCAGAGGCUUUCCCACAGCAGAUGCGAUGGACAUUAACGACUUUUUUGCGAAGAAAUUUGCUGGCACUUCAGGAAACAAAAUCCGAGUCACAGCUUUUGACGUUUCUUCAUGGGGGUUAAAUCCCAAUGUCCAUAGGAAUGUCCUAAAGAAGAACUCGUCUCCUUUUGCCUUAACAUAGCCAGUUGUUUUUGAUAACGCAUGAGCAAAAUCUUCAAAUAGAUCGAAUCUUACCAGAAUAUGCCGAUAUUCUAGCUGUCCAAUGUUGCAAUUACCUUUGACGUCGAAUUGUUUCGGCAAAAUCUGUCUCAGCUCCUGAAGUUCUGGCUUUCCAUAUGAAAAUUUAAUUAUAACUGCUUGUUGAAGACCUUCCUCCCUAGUGAAUGAAUUCACUUCAUUUACUAUGAACUCAAAAGUAGGUAUCCCAUGCUCAAACGUAACGGGACAAAGUUCUAUUUUUGAGAAUUUUGCGACAGAUUGUUGUCCAGCAAGUUGCGAUGCAUAUGUUUGUUUUGGAUCGUGAUUAAUUUGGUUUUCUAUAUUGUUAUGAAAAACCUCUCCCACAGCCAGAGGCUGGGGAGAGGGCAUAGCAUCCAUGGUUGCGUUCUACUUCAAACACAUUCCAUCAUAUCCACGCUAUGAAAGAGCAAAAUCGCUGGAAAAUUUCGAAGAAGCUGUAUGACAGUGAUUCGUCGAAAUUAGAUUUAAGAUGUAGGGAAAUUGGUUAUAGAUUUGAGGUAAAAAUCAAUUGGGAUUGGUCACAAAGAUAAGGGGAUGCUGUGACACCAAAAGUGUGACAAUCCACCGCCAGAUUCCGGAUAUAUGCCCGAUGAAUAGUGGCGGAAUCACUAUUCACCCUUCUUCCUAGAGAGAAGGGAGAGAUUUUUUUUAGAGAGAGAUUAGAUUGUUUAAAUGGAUACUUGGAUGCAUGUUGACUUUGUACGAGAGUUUAAAUUGGUUUAGAGGUGUUUUUGGUAUUGGUUUGAACAAUGAAUUUGAAUUGGAUGAGGUUAAGAAAAAUUUAAAAGGAUCUUUUGGUUAUAUGUUUAGUAGCUACAUUGAACGUGAUAGGAAAUUUAGGAACUCCCUUAAUUAAUUGAUUAAAUUGAGUUGUGCCAUUUAGUUGAAUUUUCCGUGGCCCUCACAAAUUAGAAAAUACGCAAUUGUCUUAGGUGCGCUAGUUAAAUAAUUUACCUUUUUAAAUUUGGGUGCACAUUUAUGUGACCCAAAUCCAAAUUCCAACAAUAUUAAAAUAUGUCAAAGACCACGGGUGCAUUUAUGUAAUGUGGUUCAAGACGUAUUUUAAUAGUGUUCCAAUUUUCUCUAAAAAAUGAAUUAAAGCGGUUAAAAAGUCAAAAUUUGCACAUAGGUACAUAACUGUAAAAAAUCUAAGCCGAAUAUAACAGUUGAGCGAUCGUGCUAGAACCACGAAACUCGGGAAUGCCUAACACCUUCUUCCGGUUUAACAAAAUUUCUUACUCGGAUUUCUAGCUCACAGACUGUAUUACAGAGUCAAACCUUCCUCGAUUCGGGAUUUUAAACCGGUGAUUUGGGACACCAUUAAUUAUUCCAAGUGGCGACUCUGAAUUCUCUAAAUAAAUAAAUCCAGUUUUGAUGUCACUUUAAGUUAGAAAUAACUCCCUUAUACUACCAUUCGUUGGGUGUGGUGUAAUAAAGAGGUGUGACGUAGAGUCUCACAUAUCAGUACAGAGACGUAUGUAUUUAUCCUCGGGAGGGUGCAGGACUGUUAAGGGUACUUCCCUUCUUGAUUCCUUAUCGUGCGAUUUGAUUCCCGUGAGGCUUAUGCCUUUAAUUCCUUCCUACUCAAUCUUAUGCGACAUAAAGCGCUUGUUAUAAAUCAAGAAUUGAAGAAUUGUAAUGGCACUACGAAUAUGGUGCGGGCGUUUCUCCUUGUGGGUUAUUUGAGCCAUUAUCGUCGCCUUGUGGAAGGAUAUUCUAUUGUUUCGGCUCAGUAGCAAUACUUUUGAGAGCCUUGAGGCUAGGCACAAGUUGCCAUGAUGCUUAUGAGAAAUUAUUUCGCAGUAUUAUUAUGAUGGUAGGAUGAUUGCCUGCCUGUCGAGGCGUUGAAUGACUUGAAUGGGAGGUUUGCUCAGUGCAUAAUCUAGAGAUUCGGUGUUUUAUUCCCGGCAGGGGAAAGGCAAUCAGGCAGAGAAUGUACAGGUUUGGGUUUAUGAGGUAUCAAGACUCGGUAUUCGCUAGUGUGGUGGAAGUUUUCUUGUAUAAUAAGGUGUCGUUGUCCCUAUUGAAUGCACUAAAUUCGUCGGUGUUAUGAUCUUCUACGAUUCGCCUUCGGAGCAGAAUAUUGCAUGUCAAUAUUGAAGAAACGCCUAUUAGAUAUCGCGAGGCAAGGUGGUUCCGGGUUGAAUUAGCAUUUAUAAUAUUGGCAGCUCGAGAGAAAUGAUCUCCAGCAAAAUUUAAAGUUAGUAGCGAUUUGUGGAUUCAAGUGCUAUGAAGAUAGAUUUUAUUGAGGCAACAAUUGAGUAGCAAAUGAUGAGGGAAGAUGUGUGGAAAGUGUAAGACAAUGGCUAAAAUUCCUAGAAGGCUAGGUGUAUGAAGCAAAGGUCAAGUAGUUGAUUAACGAAGCGAGUUUGGCCAAAGUGGGAGAGUGGCAGAGCUGCAUAUGGGCUUCGUAGUAGGAUGAUCACGUACCUUAAGGAGAGUUCGGAGGGAUUUGAGAAUAUUAACUGAUUGGUGAUUGGGGUCUACGGAUUUAUAUCGAAGUAUAGGCUAUUAUGAGGCAGGAGACUUGGUAUAACAGAAAGGAGAUGAUUGAAAUGAAGAAGGAUACAACGUAACUUUGAAUAGGAAGGAUGCUGCCGCACAUUUAAUUGAUGUCCACAACGGGUGAAAGGACUUAUGCAGCUAGAAGGAUUAACUCGGAUUGAGGAUGGGUUAUUGAUGUCAUGGUGAUUGUACCCUGUGCAGCAACGAUGGAAGAUGUCGGAAGGUGAUUUCCAUAGGUGGGUUAUUCCCUGUGAGCAAGUUAGCUGUCACAUACUUGGUGAGGCUUCUACGAAGAAUUCUAAUGGUUAUAAAGCGAAGGAAUCGAUCAUGCAAAUGUUAUUGAUGAUUCAGAGUAUAAAAAAGGGAUUUCCACAGCAAGAUAUCAAGGAUUUUGGGUACAACGUGUAGUGAUUGAUAUGGUGAUCUUAUGUUGGAAAUAGGUCAGGCGUAGAAUUUCGGAUGUUAGAAUUGGGCUUUAACUUCAAAAUUGAUCAAGCUGAUGUGCUCAACUAAGUUGUGGUAGCAUGGGAAGGUGUUUGAGAAGUUAAAUAGUGAUUUCAAACUACUUCCGUAUAGUUCUCAGCACGUUCGAGGACGAACUUAUGUUUAAGUGAGAGAGAAUGUAAUGACCCGACAGGUCAUUUUGAGCUCUAGCAUGUCGUUUAGCAGUCAGAGGCCAUGAACAACUUUAUUUCAGGUAUUAUGACUUGUACGCAUGGUCGGAAUUAAGUUUCAGGAAGUCCAGAGUUGAUUUGAAAAGAGAAUUCUCAUUUAGGAACCUUAAAGUUGAAAGAAUUAAUUAGGAUUAAAAUUUUAAGUAAAUGAACUCGGAAUUGGGAUCUGAAGGUUCCAGCAGGUUCAUACGAUUAUCUCGGACUUGGGCGUAUGCCCGGAUUGAGGUUUGGACAACCCUGGAGUGUUUUGGCGCCUAUUGUGGAAAGUAGCAUUUUGAAAGAAAUUUCAUAAGUUUGGGUUGAAGUGCAUUUCAGUGAUAUCGAUGUCCGUUUGGGAUACUGAGUCUGAGAGAAGCUCCGUAUUGUAAUUCUAGAGUUAGGAGCGCGAUCGGAAAUGAAUUCUGAGGUCCGUAGGUCAUUUUGGAGCCAUUUGGCCAAAGAUAUAAAUUUAAAAGUUUUUAAGAAGUUUGACAGAAGUGGACUUUUUGAUAUUGGGGUCGAAUGUUGGAGUAGGAUCGUAUUGUUGAAUAUGACUUGUGUGCAAAAUUUGAGGUCAAUCGGACGUAAUUUGAUAGGUUUAAACAUCAAAAAUAGAAGUUUGAAAUUCUAAUGUUCAUAAAGAUUGGAUUGGAGGUCGAUUUGUGGUUUUAGCGUUUUUUGAUAUGAUUUGAUAGAAGUUAGAAAUUUCAAAGUUCAUUAAGCUUGGAUUAGGGGUUGAUUUAUGAUUUUAGCAUUGUUUGGUGUGAUUUGAGGCUUUGAGCGAGUCCGUGUUAUGUUUUUGGACUUGUGCGGGUGUUUGGUUUGAAGCCCCAAGUGCUCGGGUGUGGUUUAGGAUAGCUUUGGAGUGAUUUGCUAAGAAAUAAGAUUGCUGGUGCUGGUAUGAUCGCAUUUGUGAUUCUUGGGUUGCAAAUGCAACAUCGCAUUUGCGAGCCUGGGCUCUACGGGAAAAGGUCGCAAUUGCGAUGUAUUGGUCGCAAAUGCGAGAAAGCAUUUGUAAGAUCUUGUUCGCAUUUACGAACCUGGGUGGCUGAGGGGUCGUUUGCGUUUGCGACAUUUUGGAUUGCUUUUGCGAGGCCUAAAGGGUUCGUAUUUGAGAAACCCUUAUCGUAUUUGUUACGUAGUCCAAUUCGGUCGGGGUUCGCAUUUGCGAAUUCGCAUUUGCGAUCCCCCUGUUGCAAAUGCGACAUCUGAGGGUUGUGUCCAGUUAUUAAGUCUGAAACGUAGCCCAUUUCCCUCAUUUCCCACUUGGCCUUAGACAAUUUUUGAGAGCAUUUGAGGAGAGAUUCCGUCAUCAUCAAAGAGGCAAGUAAUUUCUACGCAUCUUAAGUUAAAUACAUAGAUUAUGGGUAAAUUAACAUGCAAAAAAUUAAGGAAAAUGAAGGGGUUUAGAUGAAAACCUAGAAAAUAGAUGUUAUUGGCAUUUGACCACGAUUUUAGGUAUGAAAUUUAGAGUAGAUCAUAUAUUUGAGCUCGUGAGGUUAUGAGUAAACUUAUUCUUCAAAAUUUUUGGAAAUCCAGGCAUGUGGGCCCGAGGGUGUUUUCGUCAACUUUUCGAUUGCGGUUAUGAAUUGUUGUGUGUUGGGUUGUAUUGAAUAAUUAAUGGGUUAUAUAACUAUUGGCUAGUUUUGGAGCAUUCUUGCAUUUAUUUGAGUCUUCGAAAGGGCGUGGAAUGCCGGUUACGGAAUUUUGGAGCGAGGUGAGUCUCCUUUCUAACCAUGUAAGAGGGAAUUGUCCCCAUAGGUGAGCUAAUUGGUUAUGUGCUCCUAUAUACGUAUGCACGAGGUGACGAGAGUCCAUGCGUAGCUACUAUUAUGCUAUUGUACGGGUAGUCUAGGAUCCAAAAUCAUGCUAUACUUGGAUUGUUUGUAAACUUAUCGACAUUUGAAUUGCUUAAAUCACCUCGAGUUAGUAAAUGAAUUUCCACAAAAGAUUAAACUUCAUUUUCAAAAAUCUUUAUAAAAGAAUUGGCUUAUCUGUGGAAAAUUUUCCUUGUUGACUACUUGAUUGAUCGUCUGUGUGUGUUUAAUUUUGGAACGGGCCGAACGCCUCAGAAGAUUUAAUAGAUGCAUCUAUAGGCACGUCGUCGACCCUCCGAAAGUGCACAGUUUUAUUUUCUGUUGGAGCGGGCUGUACGCCUCGGCAUGAUUUGCGCAUGCUUGUAUUGCUGCUUUGAACUUAUUAAAGUUGUUAUUGCCUCUUCAUGGCUUGAGAAUAUUUGGAUAAUAAAGAAAGGGAAAUUUUGGAAGCCAUUGGAGCCGGCGCCGCCGUGGACGGCGGAGCAGCCGCUCCUUUGGAAUAAUGAAAAAAGAGAUUCUGGAAAUUUUCUAUAAAAGGGAAUAAUUGGUUACUUGUUUUUCUUCUAUUUGGUAAAAAUCAUGUUUGCAGAAAUUCACGAUUUAAUGUAUUAUUGAUAUCAUUAUUGGACCACUAGUAAGUGUUGAAGUUGACCAUCUCGUCUCUACUUCUUCGAUAUUAGACGGGAUACUCAUUCAGUACAUGUUGUUUUCGUACUCAUACUACACUUCUGUGCAUUUUUGUUGCACAUGUAUAUGUAACUCUAGCGGCCAACUAGGCGUAGCAGCAUGGAUGAUUCUGGGACUAGGUGAGUUGCAUUAUCCGAGACAGCCGUAGCUAGUACAGUCCCUUCAAGUAUACUGCAUUUACCUUUUGUCCAAUGUAUUCUGAACAGAUGUUGUAUUUUAUUUCCUUAUUAGUAGAUGCUCAUGCACUUGUGACACCGGGUUCUGGGAGGAUUUUGCGAGAUUAGACGGGAUACUCAUUGAGUACACGUUUUUUACGUACUCAUACUACACUUCUGUGCAUUUUUGUUCACAUGUAUAUGUAACUCUAGCAGCCUACUAGGCGUAGCAGCACGGAUGAUUCUGGGACUAGGUGAGUUGCAUUAUUCGAGACGGCCGCAGCUAGUACAGUCCCUUCCAGUAUACUAUAUUUACUUCAUGUCCACUGUAUUCCGGACGAAUGUUGUAUUUUAUUUCCUUAUUAGUAGAUGCUCAUGCACUUGUGACACCGGGUUCUGGAAGGAUUUUUGGAUUAUUAAAUGUUAUGUUUGUUAAAGAUUUCGCGGUUGUUUCUGUAAAUUUUAUUAUUCGUUAUUUAAUGUGUAAAGAAACAUGAUUUUUGAUAAUACGAAAAAAUUAGAAUUUAAUUGAGUAUUUUGGUUGGCUUGCCUGACUGUGGUGUUCGGUGUCACCACGAUCCUUUUUCGAUUUUGGGUCAUGACAAAAAUAAAUAAAAUAAUCCCAUUUCGAAUAAUGUCACUUAAAUUUUAAAAACUCCUUUAUACACUAUCAUUCGGGGUGGUGUGUAAGGUGUGUAAAAAAUAAGGUGUGACAAUAAUCCACGUAUAGCCCCUCAUUGAGGAGUGAUUACCAGAAAUUGUGUGGAGUGAUCCAUAUUUUUAAUACAGCUAGGAACCCUCCCCCUUUUAUUCUUCAUUUCUUUUCUUUCAGCAUUUUAACUCCUUAUUUUUUUAAAAAAUUCGGUCUUUUUCUAAUUGUGCUUUUAAACUGUGUUUAUUUCAAGUCGUUAUGUGUUUAAUCGCCUCUUAUUUGAGCCUUAUUUGCCAAUAUGCUAAUUUCACCUCAAUUCACAAUAAUUGUCUGGCCGGGAACCACACUAGUACAUUCUGAGGGGUUCCUAACACCUUUCCCUUAGAAUAAUUUCCAGCCAUUACCCUAUCUGUGGUUAUUUAAAUCAAACUCUUUUGGUGACCUAAUGCACCCUAAUCAUUAGGUGGCGACUCUUUAAAUACAAAACCCAGUUCCCAAAAGGAAUGAGUUGUCCUUCAAAUGUCAUAAACCCGAUUUUCGGAGAGGAAAAAGGGGGGCAUGAUAGCAUAACGACUCUGCUAGGGAUUUUAGGAUUUUACCAUUUCAUACUAUUAUUAUGAAUUUAUGCUUCUUUAUGCAUAAUUAUUUUUAUUUAUUUUAAGCAUUCAAUUUCCUUCUCAAUUGCAAAACCGACUUGUCUUUUGUCUCUUUCCUUUAUUGCUUUCCUUCAUUGCCGCUUUAAAUUAUGAAAUUAUUGUAUUUACUGCUUUCUUAAACAUGAAAAUACGUGACGACAUGCUUUUAAUUGUUGCAUAAUCAUGCUCAACAUCAUAUUACUGUGCCAAACAAAAGCAUAUUGCAACGCUUAUAAUGAGUGGGUGCACUCUUCCGAUAUUGUCACCCCCAAAAUCCGGAAAAGACACAUUUACAGUAAAACCAGUCGAUCAACGGUGUAAUUGACGGUUCCGUGCCUUUCCCCCUUGAGUUUUCUGCUCAAGGGUACCCGAUAGAAACCUUACUCUGUUUAAACUGUGCUUGCAUCACGGUCAAACCUAGUCGAGUUAGUUAUGUUGUCCGCAUAAUGACUCUUUAAGAUAGCCUUGUCCAAAGUCCCAUGGUUUUCCCUAAAACCCAAACAGACAUCAUCACGUUCUCUGCAUUUAUUUGGAGUACUAAAAGCUUUUAUGCUAAUUUUUUAUAUUAAAUAGUCGAGUUCGGUGGGGGUAAGUGUCUAACAUUUUUGUCUUGUAAAAGUAUGAGGCACGAAGUCCCCAAAUUCGGCAUGGUAACCAACAUCCAUCCAAAAUUGCUAAGUUGGUGGGAGGAUCUUCACUCCUGUGAUCAAGCUCUUGUCCGGAAAUAUUUUGGAAACUUACCUUCUCUCCUGGAAAUCCAACCCAACAACAGGAUCAUAGAAGUUGCUAUUUUGUUCUAGGAUUGUGAGAGGCCCGUAUUCUGCUUCGGGGACAUUGAAGUGACACCCUUACUAGAGGAGAUAGGAGUAUUGGCCGGUAUAGCAUGGGAGACUCUGAGUUUGUUAAUGCCUGAGAACCGCAAAGGCAGGGGUUUCCUCAAAAUGAUAGGUUUGAAGAAAAAUCCAAAACUAACAUGUUUAAAGGAAUUGUACAUCCCUUUUGAUAAUUUGUACGAGAGGUACGAUCAUAGCAAAUCCUAUCAUACCUAUCCUGACGAGUUUUCCAUCUCAUCAUUUGGGCAUAUUCACUGAAGGGCCUUUGUAUUCAUGUUUUGCUUCCUGGGAUUGAUCGUGUUUCCAAUGAAAAAAGCAAGAAUCCACACCUGACUAGCUAUGGUAACUAAGACCUUAAUGGAAGGAAUUGACGGGCAACUAUUUAGCAUUGUGCCAAUGAUCAUUGUAGGGAUAUACCAAGCCCUGGAAAAAUGUCAAUAAGGAGUCAAUCACUUCGAAGGCUGCAAUUUGCUACUUCAACUUUGGCUCGUGGAGCAUCUCCAAAAAGGUGAAUGCCGACAAGAAAUUCAGCGAAGGGACUAGGAUGAUCAUAUCAUUUUUCAUCACCCAAAGCAAAUGAAUUACCAACCCAAUAUGUUCGCCUAACAGGAGAAUGCUAGAUAAUGGGUCGAGCUCUUAGAAAAUCUGAUUGAGAACUAGGUACAAUGGAUGUUUGAGUGGUUUCUGACCAAGGAAUUCAUCGCCCGGUCCAGAGAUGCACCUUUCUUGAUAUUGAUCAGUUUAAGAGGAACAUAUCCUUGCGUCCCUCUCCGGGUUAUGAGGCAAGAAGGUAGGAAACAAGUUGUACCCAGGGUUGACAAGAUGAGUCACUUCCGAGAUGACUUUCAGGAUGAUAACAAUCCUUACAAGUGCCAGGCUUAGCAUAUGUGGCACUGCAAGAUCGUUAUGGGUAGGGAUACCAUCGAGCCAGAUAGAUACCACGCCGGUUGUGCUCCCUAUUAUUCAGGCUGGUUGGAGGAUAAGCAUGACGGCCUAGGCUAGGCUAGGUUUGUUCGAGGUCACAGGAUCAUAGAUGAAAAGGCCGAGGCAUAAGUCAAAUUCAAUCAACUACGUAAAAGGAUUCAGGAAUGCGAAAGCGAGCACCAUGAGAUACAAGAAUCCAAUCAAAAGAUAAUUGAAGAAUGGAAGGAUAUGGCUGUCAGUGCAACAAGUGACUGGGAUAUUUGGAGCAAGGCAUAGUGGAAUUGGAGAAGAAAAUUCUCAAGAGGGUCGAAGACUGCCAAAAUGCUGAAGGAAACAAAGGCGGAUAUCUAGCCAGAGCCUACCUAUUGGUGGGACUUCGCGAAUUAGGAAAGUUGUUUGAUGGAGCCAAGGAUGCCGAAUCUGGGGAAGGUCCCUUUGGGACCAAAUAGAUAUGAGUUUUCUUCUUUGAAAUGUAAUAAGGCCAAUGGUCACUAGCAACUUUUAUUUCCUGUUAUCUAGUGUCAAUUUGGGAUUCUUCUAUUUUUAUCAAUAAAAUGAGGCAUUUAGCAUUCCAAGUUCUCCAAAUCAACUUGUCCCUAGGCCUACCUAGGGCAGAAAGAGGCCCCUAAAUUAGGACGCGACUUACAUUCCCACACAAUGUGUUAAAAUAUCGCAACAUUUUUUUAAUCCUCACUAACUUGUUACCUUUUUGUUUAUUAUUUCCCCUCCCCAAAGGUUAGUUCGUGCACUCUAGCAACAUCAUCUUAUUCCACGAGAUCGAGGGGUCCUCCAUCACUCCUCCUGUUAGUCCUAUCAAAAAUAAGGACAAAGGGAAAAUGAAAGAUUUGAACAACGACAGAAAGGAGAACUCAACUGAACGGGUAGAGGUCACUCAUCAUCUUGGUACUUUGGUUCCUAAAGAAAAUGCAUCCCAACUUGAACAAAAGAUGCUGAAAUUCUAAGAAGAACUCGAUCAGGUUCGGAAUCUGGAAAAUCUAUCAUUUUCAAUCACCACUCGAGAUGUUUUUUUCCCAAAUGAUCAGAACUCCACACCACCAAAAAAUAUCCCAAAGCCACAAAACCAUCUCACCACUACUAUAACACCUGCCAUACUUCAAACAAUGCUCCAUUACUCAUCCCAGAGCUUCUAAACUCCACAAAUUACCACUUCCAUACCCACCAUAACACCCCCAUCUAUGUGGAGACUAUGACACAUUCCACCCAACCCAUCUCAAGCACACUCGAUUUUGAUAAUAAAAACUUGUUCAUCAGAAACUUGGCCGAAGAACUUAAGAAAUUGACUAGCCGAAUUCAAGGCGUUGAAGGAAGUAAGGGAAUUGAAGGGCUAAACUAUGAAGAUCUUUGCAUACAAUCGAUGUCGAACUGUCCGAGGGGUACAAACCUCCUAAGUUUGAGAUGUUUAAUGGUAUAGGGGACCUAAGAGUCCAUUUAUGAACGUAUUUUGACAAGCUGGUUGGAGUAGGAAGAGAUGAGAAAAUACACAUGAAGCUUUUCAUGAGGAGCUUGAAGGGAAAUGCUUUGUCUUAGUACAUUAUCCAAGAUCCAAAGAAGUGGUCGAACUGGGUAAGCAUGGCAUCCGAUUUUAUGGAUGAAUUCAUGCUCAACACGAAGAAUGCACCGGAUGUGUUCUAUAUUCAGAAUCUAAAGAAGAAGCCUACAGAAACAUUUCACGAGUAUGCUACUCGCUAUAGGUCCAAAGUUGCUAAGGUUAGACCUGCCUUAGAGGAAGAACAAAUGAACAAAUUCUUUGUCAGGCUCAAGACCCAUAGUAUUUAUGAAAGGAUGAUGAUGAUCGAAGGCAAAUUUUCUGACAUUAUUAGGCUGGGAGAAAUGAUCGAAGAGGGCAUCAAAAGCGGUAUGGUUACGAACUUCAAGGCCUUGCAAGCUACAAAUAAAGCCUUAUAGUAACGAGGUGUGUCCAUGAAUAGGGAUGUAGGAGCUGUAAUAGUGGCACAGAGAACCAAAUCUCCCGUCAAAUACCAAACUUACCCAAUGGCUCCACUCACAUAUCAGCCUACUCCAAAUUACCAAGCACCCUCACCCUCUUACCAAACUCCACCACCCACUUAAAAAUCACCGCCACCUCCCACAUAUCACCUACUUUACCCAGAUAUUCCUAACCUGCACAUGUUUACCAAGUCUACAAUGUUCAACCAUCCCACUAUCUAUCCCCUCCUGCACGCCAAGACUUCCCUAGACCUCGACCGAAUUUUUACCGAAGGCCUCUGAAACAAUAUACAGCUAUUGCUGAACCUAUUAACUAGUUUUAUGAAAGACUCAAAGAUUUUGGUUAUGUCACCCCUAUCCCUGCUACUCCUGAGAACCUUUCUCAGUGGGUUAAUCUAAAUAAAUCAUGUGCAUACCAUUAUGGCAUGAAAGGACAACCAUUGACGAAUGUGGUUCCCUGAAAGACAAGGUCAAGGCUUUAAUUGAUAACAAGAUUAUCGUGGCAAAGGAACUUGCUCCAAAUGUCCGCAGUGAUCCUCUGCCAGACCACAUGGGUGGAGGCAUUCACAUAAUUGAAAUAGAGGAUGACUGGGAUCCCGAGGGAUCGAUCAGUUUGAUCGCAGAGGGUGACGACCCAAAGAAACCAAUAGUCACUCUUAAUCUGAUCGUGAUCCAGAUUCAGCCCUCUAGGGAUGCUGAGUUAAAUAUGUCCGUGCCACUUGAGUUUGAAGCAACUUCCUAUGAAAAGACACCAACAUCAAUUGAGGUCGAAUUUGUGUCUCCAGUAAAUGCACCUACAGCAUUCAAAGUUGCAGUUUUACCACCCCAAAGUACAUGCUCCGUUGAGAGUAAAGAUAGCUAUGCCGAUCCCAAUAACAAUUUCAACCAUGAUGCCAUUCCACAAAAAGGCUAUACCAUAGGACUAUACAGCUUAGGCAAGAAGGAAAAGUAAGGUUAGGUUAGAAGAGGCUAUUGCGGUACAGGGUAUGACGAGAGCUGGUAGAGUUUAUACCCCGGAGCAUCUGGCUAAGUCGAGCAAGAAUGCCUCUAGACAACCGACCAUCACCAAGACCAAGCCAGAUGAUCUUUUGAGAAAGAUAUAGGCCAAGGAAUACUCGAUCAUCGACCAGCUAAACAAAAUACCUACAUGAAUUUCUAUCCUUGCCUUGCUACAAAAUUCUGAUGCACAUAAGAAUGCCCUGUUAAGGGUGAUGAGUGAAGCAUACAUGCCUAGCAACAUCACCGGCGGAGAGAUGUCUAACAUAGUAGGACAAGUAUUAGAAAGUCACAUGAUCACUUUCCAUGAAGAUGAGCAGCCACCAGAAGGGUUGAGUCACAACAAGGCAUUGCACAUCACCGUGCAAUGUGAAGACUAUUUUAUCACGAGAAUCCUGAUCGAUGGAAGGUCCAGCCUUAGUAUUUUUCCGUUGGUAAAACUAUGAAUGUUGGGUAAGAGACUGCACGAGAUAAAUAAUAGAGCCAUAAAUGUGAAAGCCUUUCGCGGUUCCCAAAGGUCACCAUUGGGAAGAUUAGUCUUUGUUUGCACAUAGGGCUUACUUGGUUCGAUGUUGAUUUUCAUGUGAUAGACAUGCCGACAUCUUGCACUCUGUUGUUAGGACGGUUGUGGAUUUAUGCCGAUGGGGUCGUAACAUCAAUACUAUAUCAGGCGGUAAAGUUUGAGUGGAAUCACCAGGAGGUGAUUAUUCAUGGCAACUGUAGCAGUUCUAUAUACAGUCCAUAAACUAUUCCAGCAGCUGGAGGUAGAAGGAAGUUAGGUGGGGAGACCUAUCACCAUAUAGAGCGAGUCAAUGCUGUUGACAACAAGAUCGAGAGCUUAUUGAAUUUGAGUGGAUACGAACCGAGCAAGAGGCUUGGCAAAAACCUCCAAGGAAUCAUUAAGCCAAUAAAGCUCAAGAAACAUGGCACCACUUUCGGUCUGGGAUAUGAGUAUUCUGGGAGGAAUUCAACCACUGGCCGCCACCAUGGCACGGUCCUUACUAUCCACUAGAGCAUCCAAUACCAUGCUUGGAAUAGAGCUUCCAACUGGCCAAUGUUAUCUAUGGGUCAGAAGAAGAUGAAGCACUGGCAACAAUGAAGAAUUUGUUCAUUGAAGACGAUGAUAUGGAUUGUUGUGUCAUUCUCGAGGAUGAGGGAUUAUUACUAGGGAUUUUGACGUGUUUCAUGCUCUUUCUUGCUUACGCUUUGAUUAUAAAUUCUUACGAAAUUGUUCCAAAGGCUCAUAAGUUGUGCUUGAUUGCAGGUUUGAUCGAAAAAGUGAUGAAAUAUCAAAGAUCGGUUCUAAAGGAGUAAAACUUGCUCAAGUGCCACAGACAAAGAAAAAUCAUGACAGAAAGGCCUAGUGCAGCCGCACUACACUUUGUGCGGUCCGCACUAGGGAAUUAGGAGAACUAGGAAAUCGAGCUUCAAAGCAGUGCGGCCAUAUUUGAUCUUGCGCGGUCUGCACUGAAGGUUCCGCGGCCGCACUACUAUUAUGUGCAUUCCACAGAAGAUAAGAUCAAAGAGAUUUAAUUUGACA
Molecule: long non-coding RNA, 18283 nt
Filed under: Nicotiana benthamiana
Lineage: Eukaryota; Viridiplantae; Streptophyta; Magnoliopsida; Solanales; Solanaceae
Description: long non-coding RNA (NBEN_LNC015252)
Source: RNAcentral